Molecule: non-coding RNA, 32 nt
Filed under: Syntrophotalea carbinolica DSM 2380
Lineage: Bacteria; Pseudomonadati; Thermodesulfobacteriota; Desulfuromonadia; Desulfuromonadales; Syntrophotaleaceae
Source: RNAcentral
UUUCAGGUCGAGUUGCGCAAUCUUCCCUUCGC